CUCGUAGUUGGAUCUCGGUGCCGGUCUGGCGGUCCGCCUCGCCGCGGUCUCACUGCCAGUCCCGGAGCCAUCCCGCCGGCCUUCCCUCGGUGCUCUUUACCGAGUGUCUUGGGUGACCGGAACGUUUACUUUGAACAAAUUAGAGUGCUCCAAGCAGGCGCGUCCCGCCCGCAUAGCCCAGCAUGGAAUAAUGGAAUAGGACCUCGGUUCUAUUUUGUUGGUUUUCGGAACCCGAGGUAAUGAUUAAUAGGGACAGACGGGGGCAUUCGUAUUGCGACGCUAGAGGUGAAAUUCUUGGACCGUCGCAAGACGAACUACUGCGAAAGCAUUUGCCAAGAAUGUUUUCAUUAAUCAAGAACGAAAGUUAAAGGUUCGAAAGCGAUCAAAUACCGCCCUAGUUCUAACCAUAAACGAUGCCGACCAGCGAUCCGCCGGAGUUCCUCCGAUGACUCGGCGGGCAGCUUCCGGGAAACCAAAGUGUUUGGGUUCCGGGGGAAGUAUGGUUGCAAAACUGAAACUUUUAGGAAUUGACGGAAGGGCACC
RNAcentral lists this ribosomal RNA (543 nucleotides) under Craterostigmus tasmanianus. RNAcentral's name for it is "SSU rRNA". It matches the Rfam family "Eukaryotic small subunit ribosomal RNA", at positions 627 to 1168 of the family's 1831-position model. Lineage: Eukaryota; Metazoa; Arthropoda; Chilopoda; Craterostigmomorpha; Craterostigmidae. The record is from RNAcentral.